AUAAUUUAGAAUGAAAAGUUCUAUAAGUAGAGGUCUUCCUUAAUGGUUAUACCAAUGGGGUAUCUGGCGUACGAGUAAUAAAAAAAGAGUACAGAUAAACAAUAACAGUUGCGAAUAUUUCAGAAUUCAGAUACUCAACAAACUUGGCCUCUCCAAACAAAUUCAACUCCUCAACCAAAAUACCACCCUUUCUAAUUAGCUAUCUAAUUUAACUGAUACUGUUCACUCCUUUUCUGAUUUAGGAUCAUCGUUGACUACCCACAGAGUGUCCCCAUUCCGACAAUGUAAGACUAAUCUCCGCUCGUCCAAGGACCAAGUAAAGGCUUACUUACCAACACAUUUUUUAACUCUACGAGAAUCGAACCUGUGAGCUCGAACUCCCGAGUUCUAGGACAGGUUACUCUUUAAUUGGUUGACUGGGCCUCUUUAAUUGAGGUUUUGAUGACAAUACUACACUGAUUUACACAGUAACUAACUAAGUAACUAAGUAACUAACUAACAUAAACAACCUAUGUAGUUAUAAAUAAAACAGCAACCUGAAAUGAAAAGCAAUAUAACUAGGUAACUAUAUGAACAUCAAUUAUUAGACAUGCAACAAAAUUACAUUGAAAGAAGUGUGUGUAAAAUAAUAUGAAAGUAGAAGAAGAAAAAGAGAAAAAGCUUACCUCCAUAUUGAGAGCAAGACGAACACCUUGAAUUUCUUUACGGAAUUUAAGAAAUAAUUCAGAAGGCAUGAAAUUGAAGUUAUAUAAUUCAUCCCACGAACUUGCAGGUUCCUCCACGUUCGACACCGAAUCCAUUAUUAUCACUCCUGA
This 815-nucleotide long non-coding RNA is filed under the name Trifolium pratense (red clover). RNAcentral describes it as "long non-coding RNA (TPRA_LNC008386)". The record is from RNAcentral. Lineage: Eukaryota; Viridiplantae; Streptophyta; Magnoliopsida; Fabales; Fabaceae.